UGGGGAAUCUUGCGCAAUGGGCGAAAGCCUGACGCAGCAACGCCGCGUGGAGGAAGAAGGCCUUCGGGUUGUAAACUCCUGUCAGGGGGAAAGAAGGCACCUGGGUGAAUAGCCCAAGGGCUGACGGUACCCCCAGAGGAAGCCACGGCUAACUACGUGCCAGCAGCCGCGGUAAUACGGAGGUGGCGUGCGUUGUCCGGAAUUAUUGGGCGUAAAGAGGGCGUAGGCGGCUUGCCAGGUCCGACGUGAAACCCCGGGGCUCAACUCCGGACGUGCAUCGGAAACCGUCUUGCUAGAGUCUGGGAGAGGGGAGUGGAAUUCCUGGUGUAGCGGUGAAAUGCGCAGAGAUCAGGAGGAACACCGGUAGCGAAGGCUGCUCCCUGGAACAGUACUGACGCUGAGGCGCGAAAGCUAGGGGAGCGAACA
This 426-nucleotide ribosomal RNA is filed under the name uncultured prokaryote. RNAcentral's name for it is "bacterial SSU rRNA". It matches the Rfam family "Bacterial small subunit ribosomal RNA", at positions 355 to 774 of the family's 1533-position model. The record is from RNAcentral.